This 428-nucleotide ribosomal RNA is filed under the name uncultured bacterium. Its description in RNAcentral is "bacterial SSU rRNA". It matches the Rfam family "Bacterial small subunit ribosomal RNA", at positions 355 to 774 of the family's 1533-position model. The record is from RNAcentral. RNAcentral also lists the same sequence under 1 other name.
UGGGGAAUUUUGCGCAAUGGGGGAAACCCUGACGCAGCAACGCCGCGUGAGUGAUGAAGGCCUUCGGGUCGUAAAGCUCUGUCAGAGGGAAAGAAGUGCAGUGGUGCUAAUACCAUCAUUGCUUGACGGUACCCUCAAAGGAAGCACCGGCUAACUCCGUGCCAGCAGCCGCGGUAAUACGGAGGGUGCGAGCGUUGUUCGGAAUUAUUGGGCGUAAAGCGCGUGCAGGCGGUCUUUUAAGUCUGAUGUGAAAGCCCCGGGCUCAACCUGGGAAGUGCAUUGGAAACUGGGAGACUUGAAUACGGGAGAGGGUAGUGGAAUUCCUAGUGUAGGAGUGAAAUCCGUAGAUAUUAGGAGGAACACCGGUGGCGAAGGCGGCUACCUGGACCGAUAUUGACGCUGAGACGCGAAAGCGUGGGGAGCAAACA